This 629-nucleotide ribosomal RNA is filed under the name uncultured bacterium. RNAcentral describes it as "bacterial SSU rRNA". It matches the Rfam family "Bacterial small subunit ribosomal RNA", at positions 8 to 619 of the family's 1533-position model. The record is from RNAcentral.
AGAGUUUGAUCCUGGCUCAGGACGAACGCUGGCGGCGUGCUUAACACAUGCAAGUCGAGCGAAGCAUUUUGGGUAGCUUGCUACCUGAUUUGACUGAGCGGCGAACGGGUGAGUAACACGUGGGUGAUCUGCCUGGAAGCCUGGGAUAACAGUUGGAAACGGCUGCUAAUACCGGAUGAUGUUUUAGCUGUAGGGGCUAAAACCAAAGCGCUAUGUAGCGCUUCCAGAUGAGCCCGCGUCCCAUUAGCUAGUUGGUGGGGUAAUGGCCUACCAAGGCGACGAUGGGUAGCCGGUCUGAGAGGAUGGUCGGCCACACUGGGACUGAGACACGGCCCAGACUCCUACGGGAGGCAGCAGUGGGGAAUUUUGCGCAAUGGGGGAAACCCUGACGCAGCAACGCCGCGUGAGUGAAGAAGGCCCUUGGGUCGUAAAGCUCUGUCAAGUGGGAAAAAAGUCUUGCCGUUAAUAGCGGGAGGGCCUGAUGGUACCACUAAAGGAAGCACCGGCUAACUCCGUGCCAGCAGCCGCGGUAAUACGGAGGGUGCAAGCGUUGUUCGGAAUUACUGGGCGUAAAGAGCGUGUAGGCGGCAUGGUAAGUCAGAUGUGAAAGUCCUGGGCUCAACCCAGGA